Long non-coding RNA from Cavia porcellus (domestic guinea pig), 6869 nucleotides. RefSeq lists it as uncharacterized. The transcript is spliced from 12 exons. The record is from RefSeq and is a predicted model, not a curated record. NCBI's taxonomy places the organism in Eukaryota, Metazoa, Chordata, Mammalia, Rodentia, Caviidae.
AGAGCUCCUGCCUCCUCUGUUCUUUUCAUCUCCUGCUGCGGGUGGCAGACAUGGGAGAGACAGGCAAGCUGCAAAGGGAAGGCAAAGUAAAAUUAAAGCCCUACAACUGUGUUCGUGUGUCAGCGUGGAUGGGGUACCCCUUAGUUUCUUCAUAGAAGGGGGUGUGACCACCCAGGACUGUCUGGAACAGAUCCUAUGGAAGUCACUCUGUUCACCUAGAAGCUGGAGGAGAAGCAGAAGGCAAGAAGAGGGUUAAAAUUCCGGAACAAGAGCCCUUGAUGAGGCUAGCAAUAAGAGGCAUGAUACUCUCAGUGGAUGCUGACAGCUAUGCACAACUCCAUUCCAGGUGAUCAGGAAGCUCUCCUUUUCUAGUUACUGACAAGAGAGACAUAUGUUUUCAUCAUGGCACAUUUUUACAGAAAUAUGUAUGCAUAUGAUUUUUCCAAAAAAGAAUAUAUAGAAGGAUAUAAAACAGAGCAAUAAAACAAGUAAAGGUCCCUCCUGUGAGCCAUGUGGAGAGUGGAUGGGGAGAGCAAGGAAGUAAAGACCCUGCCUGUGAACCAUCCGGAAUGCAGAUCGAGGGGAGCCAAAAUGGAAGCAAAGCCUCCACCUAUGCGCCAGCUGAAAAGAAGGUUGCAGCUCAGUAAAAAUGGAGCACAGUCGUAUAUGGAAGCUAAGGGAACGUCUUGGCAUCAAUCAGUUCCUACAGAAACUGCCCUGCGGAUUCAGAUUGACCCGCAGGCCAGGUCAAGUGGCACCCAGCAUGGGGCUCCUGGCAUGAAGGGCUCAACAAGGGAGCUGUCCUGAGAUGCGCGCAUAAGAAGGGAACCAAGAGUUUUGUGACCAAAGCUACCUGGGAGCCUGCCGUGCUGCUCGAGUCACGGUAAGUGGAUGGCGAUCCUUUCCCUUUUUUUCUGGCGUGGGUCAGGCAUUAAGUGAUCAUAAGUGCUUCUGUCAGGUUUAAGUAAAGCUUUAAGACAAGGGGGAUAAAGGCUAAAGAAAAAGAUUUAUUGUGGUACUUUCAGUUUAUUCAUACUUGGUCCCCUUUAGAGGGCUCUAUUGAUGCAAAAAGAUGUGAAAGAGUAGGAGGUGCAUUAAAGGAUUACUAUCGGGUCUUUGGCCCUGAAAAGGUCCCAGUUACGGCCUUUGCCUACUGGAACCUAAUCUCGGAGCUACUUACACAGCGCUGCGGAGACCCUCAAAUUGAUGAAACAAUCACCCAAGGUGAAGCCGCCUUACAUGCUUCUGCUUUGCCAACAUCGCUCCCUUCAGGAGAUGAAUCUAAACCUUCUUGCCCCUCUGAUGAGUCAAAUGAUAUGUUAAAAAAGCCCUAAGAUGGCGGCCCGUUGCCAUCCAAGCUCCUACCACCUGAGGCCCACCACAACUCUUUAUAUCCCAACCUCACUCCUUUACAAGAGGUCAAUUGGAAACAAUUUGCAGAAGAAGCUAGCCGACAUAACUUGGACCCUAUCGUAGCCCCUGUUUCCAUAAAACUCCCUCACUAUGACAAAACACCCAUAAUUGUCCAGCCCCUCUACCACACUUCUUGACUUAGAGUCAGAGAUUCAUGACUUACAACAACAGGUCCAAUUAGAACAAGAAAAGCAAAGACUCAUUCUGCAACUCCAAACUUUACAGACAGGCCAAGUAGACACCACCCCUAAGAUGGUGCCAGCUUCUCAAAUGGUACUUGCCUCACUUCCGCCACAUCUGGGGGGCCCCUCCCCAAAAUGGCAUUUCUGGUGACGGAGACAAACGUGCCUCCCCAAGAUGGUGCCAUACAGCUGCAAGGCAGUGCUGCGCCGCCAGCACUACAAGUCAUCAGGACCCAUAUGCCAUUCACAGUGGCAGCUUUAAAAGAAUUAAAGACAGCAGUCGCCCAAUAUGGCCCUACAGCUGCUUUCACUCUUGCUGUUUUAGAUUCUAUGACCCAAGAUUGGAUCAUUCCAAAUGAAUGGAGGGAUUUAACUAAAGCUACUCUCUCUGGGGGCAAUUAUUUACUCUGGAAGUCUAAAUUUAUGAAACAAUGUAAAAAUAUUGUUAGAGAUAAUGCCGCUAGACAAAACCCCUGGACCCUUCCCAUGUUAAUAGGAACUGGGGAUUUUAACUCCAAAGAGGCCCAAAUGAGAUAUGAUCCUGGCCUCUUCACACAAGUCACUGUGGUGGCUACUAGGGCUUGGAAGUGUCUCCCUUCCGAAGGUGAACUGACUUCCUCCCUUACCCAAAUUAAACAAAAGCUUGUAGACCCACAGGUUAGACCAAACUGCUCUUGGUCCUCCUAUGAAGAGGCUAUGCAUUCCUCUUGUUAUAUAACAGUUUCCAAAUAACAAAAUUUAUUUCACAGCCAUCCUUACCAAAACUACUCCGCCCCAAUAUGCCUCAGAUUGGAACACUAUCCCCAAGGACAUCAGUGUCUCCCCAUAUUCUUAGGCAGGAUGUAAAGGCAAUAUAGGGGCACCCACAUGUUGGUUCAGAGAGCCACCUGUCCAUGUUUCUGAUGGGGGAGGCCCCCAAGACAAGAUCAGACAAAAAUAGGUUCACCAACGACUAGAAGAGAUAAUAAAUAGCUUAUUCCCAAAGAUCAAUUACCACCCAUUGGCACUCCCCAAACCCUGGGGAGUGGACCUAGAUCCACAGACCUAUGAUAUUCUCUUAGCCCCUCAAAAGGCGCUUAAUGUUACCAACCCUAAUCUGGCUAAAGACUGCUGGCUAUGCAUGGCACUAGGCACCCCCAUGCCAAUAGCUAUCCCCUCCAAUUCAACACCUAUCUCCCUAGGAGACCCCUCUACCUGUAUGCCUGGUCAGUCAUUUCCUGUCCAGCCGGUGGGAAUGACCAAUUUAUCUGUCCCAUGUAUCCAGGGAUCCCUUAAAAAUGACUCAUCUGUCAUUGAUGUGGGCUCCCUCAUGUUCCCCAAUUGCUCUCAAACUGCCUAUUACACUGAUCCCUUAUGCCCCCCCUCAGGACAAGUGUUUGUCUGUGGGGCCAAUCUGGCUUACCCUUUUCUCCCAUCCAGCUGGUCAGGAAUAUGUAUGCUAGCUGCCAUUCUGCCCGAUAUUGAUAUGAUUCCUGGACAGGAGCCUGUACCCAUACCAGAGUUUACCUACAUCUCUGGCUGCCAAAAACGAGUGGUGGCUCUUGUUCUACUUCUGAUAGGAAUGGGUGUCACCAGGGUGCUGGCCACCGGUACAGCUGGAUUGGGUGUCUCCAUAGAUAAAUACACUGAGACCUCCAACCAGCUGUCAGAACAUGUCCAGGCCCUGUCUGCCACCAUACAGACAAGAUCAGCUAGACUCACUGGCAGAGGUAGUCAUCCAAAACAGGUGAGGGCUAGACCUCCUAACUGCAGAACAGGGGGGAAUUUGUCUUGGCUUACAGGAAAAAUGUUGCUUCUGUGUUAACCAAUUCGGCGUCGUUCGUGGAAAACUUCAAGAAAUUAAAGAGCGGCUCAAAUUGAGAAGACAACAGAUGGCCUCUAACCCUUUCUCCUCACUCUGGGGAGGGCUCUUCCCCUACCUAGCACCCCUCCCGGGGCCCCUAGCUGCCUUGUUGCUUCUCCUCUCUGUGCGUCCUUGUAUUUUUCAGAGGAUUAUGACGCUCAUUAAUAACUGGAUAGACGCAUUUAUGGCAAAGCCCGUUCAGGUACACUACCACCAGCUGGAGAUGGCAGAUCAACAAACCUACCAGGAAAGAAUUCCCACGAGUGGACCAUAUGACAACAUGGCCUAACUGCCCUGGGGCAAUGGACAGGCAGCCAGAGAUGGGCAACUAGGACAUGCAUGUUAACUCUAUUGGCCACUGAGACAGGCACAGGACCAACUGCUGUCCCGCAAGCCCAUGACAGCUCAAUAAUGAUAAUACAGGACCUGAAGAUUCCACUGACUGGCAAGUGUAUUCAUUCCUGAAAGGCAUAAACCAGGGCUAUAGCUUCAAGGAAAAAAAAAAUGAAAGGACCCAAAGAGGAUUUAUUUGCUCAAUACUUUCUCUGGAUGAACUGUCAGCAUGGAUUUACGUGUGUUCUAAGGCGGUGCUCUCAAAGUCUGUUGUGGGAAAUUCUGACCCUCUGGGUACAUACGAGGCUCUGCCUUUCCCUGGAGACUCAAUGAUUUUAUGUCUAGUGGUUCAUAAGUUACAAGAUAUCUGGAAUUAGGUGAUAUGAAAAAAAGUAUACUUGAGUUGCUACUGAUCCCAGAAUGACAGAGAGUUUGUGCAGCUCUGAACCCAACCUGCAGCCUGGACCCUGGUCAGCUGAUUAUAACUCAGCCCACAAAGCCACACUAACCAAUUCCUGGACUUACAAGUGAGAAAAAAAAUAAAUGCGUCUUAUUGUAUAUGAUUAAGGUUUGAGGUUGCUUGUUAUGCAGCAUUAUGAAAAAAUUUCUCUUGGUCUCAGAUUCCUAUUACAUAAUAUGGGGCAAUGUUUGUACUGUACUUAUUUGCAUGGUGUUAUCAAGAGUCACCGAGCAGUAUGUAAUAUGUUUAGGGGAUUGUCUGUCACACUGAAGAAACAGCCUCACCUCUUUUCAUAUACUAUUCUUCAGCCAACAAUUUCCUUCCCAAUGUAAUUAUGUCAAUAAAACAUGUUGGAAUUCUUUUAUUACCUUGGUGUAAAAGAGCAAAGCCUGCCAACAAAGGAGGAGCACAAGUACAUGCUAUGAAGUACAAGUUAAUUCAUUGCCAUUGUGUACUCCUUGCUGGGAUAGUGGACAGCACAAGCCUUGUGGUGUUUAGGAAGUAUCUUCAAUCCACAGAAUAUCUCGGUUUUUCUACCAAUACUUGCUACAUCCAGAGCAAGUUAGGAACACAGCAUUGGGACUAGAGCAGAUACUCUCAAUGCCCAACUGAUACCCCCUAAACCUUCCUCUGAGUUUCAAUACAUUAAUUUCUCAGUUUAGUCACUCAUAUAUCUUUGCUCCUCUGAUGCCAGGGAAGCCGCCUUAGUACGUCAGUGAGGAAGUGCUUCUGGGGCAGCUGUGAAGCCUUAGGAGAUGGGAAUGGGUGGGUUAGUACCUGAACCCUCCUCACACUCCCAUUAGAUAGGGGAAUAUUCUUACCGAUUUCCAGUAAGCUGAAGUUCAAAGUUCCUACAAUCAUACCUUUUUCAUCAACAUUCUUGUAUAAGGAAACAAAAUGUUUUUCUACUAUACUCACACAAUUCUUAUUCAUAUAAUUCCUUGAUACCAUCAGGGUAUCCUACAAUUUAAUUCAAUUCUGUUACUAUCUAUAUUGAGAGAGCAAUAUAUGACCUCUUUAUUUUAGGGUUUUUUUUUUUUGCAGAGAUUUAAUUACCUAGGUAUCAUCAAUUAUAUGUUUUACUUCCAGCUUGUUUUCUCUUUUAUUGAGAAAUGAGCUGAAAUUUUUGAUUUUUUUUAUUUUAAAGAGGAUAAAAUGGAAUAAAACCAAUCAAAACAAACCAGUGUAAGAGAUACAGGACUUCAAAACAUUAUAAAAUCAACAAUAGUUACCAUAAUGCAUUUGAUGUUUUCAUACAGAUAACUUCGAACGUAGUAAAAAUCAAAUAGAACACAAUAGAAUAAAAACAAAACAAUGAAUGCAAUAAAGGACUUCAAAACAAACCAAUAAUAAAUCCAAAAUUGCUACUAUAUCUUGCUAUCUUUUAAAUAGCUGCUCCUGCCAUUGGACUUAACAUAAUCAAACAAAACAUAAUAAAACUCAACCCAAAAAAACAAUGGAAAUGAUAAUGGAAAAGACUUUAAAACAAGACCAUAGGGAAUCAACAAUGGCUAAAAUCCUCAGAAAGAGAUCAUCCCUAGAUGCCACAAUGUGUACCACUGUCUUCUGAUCUUAUGACCACUGACCCUAGACCAAUGCAAUGUUAGUGAAACACAAAAACAUCACAGGCAUCCAAUUGCAUUUCAACUUGAUAGCUAUCAUCACAGCCUGUGGUUCUCCUGAUAAGCCAGCUCAAGGUGUGUGUGGGUGCUGAUGGGGCACUGAUACUUCUUGUUUCCAGUCUGCACGCUGGAAGGGGCUAGGUCCUGGCUGAUCCAGUCUGGUGGCAGCUCCUGCAUAGCACAGGUUCCUAGCCUGGGCUUACUUCUUCAAGUUCCACAUUUCUAAUUUUGUCUUAUGUCUCUGGUGACCAGCUUCUAUUCAGGAUACCACUAAAGGUCUUCUCAUUAGAACAAAAGAUGGUCUCAUCACACAGGAAAUUGCAAAGGAUUUAGGAACUCUCUUAGGAAUCAAAGUAAAGACAAAUAGGGUCAAUGAAACGUAAUGUCAGAGACACAUUGUGAGAAAUGCAUCAUAAGGCAAUUUCAUCAUACAACAUCAUAAAGCACACUUACUCAAACUUGGGUGUGAUACAUCAGUCACUGGAUUGUAGCUGCUUGAUACACUUGAUGUAUGAAGCUGUCUGCUGCCUCUGUAUUCUGUUUUAUAGUAAACAUUCUAAAAUAAGAAGUGCACUCCAAAGUAAUGAUAAAUGUAUAGGAUAGUGAGUACAUAUGUCAGCAAAAUAGUUGUUUAUUGUUAGUAUCAGUUAUGUGCUGUUCAAAACUAUGUGCUGUACUUUUGCAUCAGUGGUAUGCAGCAGGUUUGUUUACAGUAUCACCAUCAUGACAGGAAUAAGUUUCUUGUGGGAUCAGUGUUCUCUGUGUGGUCUGUAACUGACCUUCUUGUGUACUUGAUGGGGAAAAAAAAAGAUUCUCCUAGAAACCCUAUUUGGAAGUGUUUCAGAAGCCUUGUAUCAGGAACUAUAGGUAGAGACCAAUGUGUGUGUGUGUGUAUGUGUGUGAUAUACUUUUCUGUAUUUGAGCAUUUUCUGUUUUUUUUUUGUCUCACUUUCUUGACUUCCUCACUUGUAUUUCCUUAGAUGCCAACUCAAAUAAACUUCUUGAAUUCAAAUCCA